This 392-nucleotide long non-coding RNA is filed under the name Theobroma cacao (cacao). Its description in RNAcentral is "long non-coding RNA (TCAC_LNC002212)". The record is from RNAcentral. Lineage: Eukaryota; Viridiplantae; Streptophyta; Magnoliopsida; Malvales; Malvaceae.
CUGCUUUGGAGUACGCCAUGUGGAAGGCUCGCGUAGUGGAUAUCAAGCCUGGAGAGACCCGUUUGCUUCCUGGCUUACCUGAAGAAAUGGCUUUGACAGAUUCCGAUCUUAAACAUGGCCCACCACCUGGACCACCGCCACCUGGGCAUGGCGGCUUCGGUUUCUCACUUGGACCGCCAGGACCACCACCACCUGGGCUCGGCGGCUUCGGCUUUCCACGUGGACCGCCACGACCACCACCACAGGGGCAUGGCUUUUUCCCUGGGCCUCCAGGAGGGCCCGGACCACAGAAAAUGGGUCCACCCCAACCAGGUGGACAGCCACCCUGGAUGGAAGCUGCCAAUGACUCGGUUGCAUUGAUGCUAAACAGUUGCAAUGAUCUUGAGGGUCCA